This 74-nucleotide microRNA precursor is filed under the name Strigamia maritima. RNAcentral's name for it is "mir-130 microRNA precursor family". It matches the Rfam family "mir-130 microRNA precursor family". From Rfam's summary of the family: The hairpin precursors (represented here) are predicted based on base pairing and cross-species conservation -- their extents are not known. The record is from Rfam by way of RNAcentral. Lineage: Eukaryota; Metazoa; Arthropoda; Chilopoda; Geophilomorpha; Linotaeniidae.
UCCAAAUGACACUUCUUCUAACAUUGCUGCACUGUUGCCAACAGGGCAGCAAUGUUAGAAGAAGUGUCAUUGGA